UACGAAGGUGGCAAGCGUUACUCGGAAUUACUAGGCGUAAAGGGCAGGUAGGUGGUUCAGUAAGUCUGUUGUGGAAGCUCCCGGCUUAACCGGGAGAGGCCAACGGAAACUACUGAACUUGAGUGUAGGAGAGGGUAUUGGAAUUCCCGGUGUAGCGGUGAAAUGCGCAGAGAUCGGGAGGAACACCAAUGGCGAAAGCAGAUACCUGGACUAUUACUGACACUAAGCUGCGAAAGCUAGGGGAGCAAACAGG
RNAcentral lists this ribosomal RNA (253 nucleotides) under uncultured bacterium. RNAcentral's name for it is "partial 16S ribosomal RNA". It matches the Rfam family "Bacterial small subunit ribosomal RNA", at positions 524 to 776 of the family's 1533-position model. The record is from RNAcentral.